GACGAACGCUGGCGGCGUGCUUAACACAAGCAAGUCGAACGAAGUGGCGAACGGGUGAGUAACGCGUAAUCAACCUGCCCUUCAGAGGGGGACAACAGUUGGAAACGACUGCUAAUACCGCAUACUGAAGGAGGAGAUAGAGUCUGAUGAGCCAGUUGGUGGGGUAAAGGCCCACCAAGGCGAUGAGCAGGCGCCGGUCGGAGGGAAUGACCGGCAACAUGGGAACUGAGACACGGCCCAUACUCCUACGGGAGGCAGCAGUGGGGAAUCUUCCGCAAUGGACGAAAGUCUGACGGAGCAACGCCGCGUGAGUGAUGACGGCCUUCGGGUUGUAAAGCUCUGUUAAUCGGGACGCGGUACCGGAAUAGAAAGCCACGGCUAACUACGUGCCAGCAGCCGCGGUAAUAC
Molecule: ribosomal RNA, 408 nt
Filed under: uncultured bacterium
Lineage: Bacteria
Description: partial 16S ribosomal RNA
Rfam family: Bacterial small subunit ribosomal RNA
Source: RNAcentral